RNAcentral lists this transfer RNA (94 nucleotides) under Candidatus Micrarchaeum sp. AZ1. It matches the Rfam family "tRNA". Rfam says of the family: Transfer RNA (tRNA) molecules are approximately 80 nucleotides in length. Their secondary structure includes four short double-helical elements and three loops (D, anti-codon, and T loops). Further hydrogen bonds mediate the characteristic L-shaped molecular structure. tRNAs have two regions of fundamental functional importance: the anti-codon, which is responsible for specific mRNA codon recognition, and the 3' end, to which the tRNAs corresponding amino acid is attached (by aminoacyl-tRNA synthetases). tRNAs cope with the degeneracy of the genetic code in two manners: having more than one tRNA (with a specific anti-codon) for a particular amino acid; and 'wobble' base-pairing, i.e. permitting non-standard base-pairing at the 3rd anti-codon position. The record is from Rfam by way of RNAcentral. RNAcentral also lists the same sequence under 1 other name. Lineage: Archaea; Nanobdellati; Microcaldota; Candidatus Micrarchaeia; Candidatus Micrarchaeales; Candidatus Micrarchaeaceae.
CCCGUUGUAGCUCAAUGGCAGAGCGGCCGGCUGUAGUUUGAUUCUUCGUCAAGAAGAUACCGGCAGGUUGAGCGUUCGACUCGCUCCAACGGGA